Long non-coding RNA from Microplitis demolitor, 435 nucleotides. RefSeq lists it as uncharacterized. The transcript is spliced from 3 exons. The record is from RefSeq and is a predicted model, not a curated record. NCBI's taxonomy places the organism in Eukaryota, Metazoa, Arthropoda, Insecta, Hymenoptera, Braconidae.
AUGUAAAUUUGAUUCUAAAUAUAGCAAAUAUGUAUAAGUAUAUAUAUAUAAAAGAUAAAUGAGACGAUAUGUGAAUUAAAAAAAUUAUCCUACAAUUUGUUCGUUAUAAAUAAUCGAUCAAGAUAUGUCGAUUAAAAUUUCUACAAUUCUUCUAAUUGGAUUAGCUAUAAUCGUGAUAUUCGAAAUCCAAACUGGACAUGCUAAACUUUGUAAGUCGUCGUUUGAUUGUGAUUUCUUUCAUUACUGUAAUAAAUUAUCAUGGCUAGAAUUGGGAUUUUGCGAAUAUGAUCCAAUUAAUCCCAUUUACUUAAAAAAAGGUACAAAAAUCUAUUAAUUUUCCUGUGAUGUUCAUAGGAACUCAAAUAAUUGUUUAGUGUAAAUUGUAAUUGUGUAUAUAUUUAUUUCAUUAGUUACAUAAUAUAAAUAAUUUUUCAU